Molecule: transfer RNA, 70 nt
Filed under: Dipodomys ordii (Ord's kangaroo rat)
Lineage: Eukaryota; Metazoa; Chordata; Mammalia; Rodentia; Heteromyidae
Rfam family: tRNA
About the family: Transfer RNA (tRNA) molecules are approximately 80 nucleotides in length. Their secondary structure includes four short double-helical elements and three loops (D, anti-codon, and T loops). Further hydrogen bonds mediate the characteristic L-shaped molecular structure. tRNAs have two regions of fundamental functional importance: the anti-codon, which is responsible for specific mRNA codon recognition, and the 3' end, to which the tRNAs corresponding amino acid is attached (by aminoacyl-tRNA synthetases). tRNAs cope with the degeneracy of the genetic code in two manners: having more than one tRNA (with a specific anti-codon) for a particular amino acid; and 'wobble' base-pairing, i.e. permitting non-standard base-pairing at the 3rd anti-codon position.
Source: Rfam by way of RNAcentral
GGGAAGUUGGCUCAGCGGUAGAGCGCUUGCCUUGCAUGCAUGAGGCCCUGGGUUCCAAUCCUCAGUACCA